UAGUGUAAUGGUUAGCAUGUCUGCUUUACAUGCAGAAGGUCUUGGGUUUGUGCCCCAG
This 58-nucleotide transfer RNA is filed under the name Pteropus alecto (black flying fox). It matches the Rfam family "tRNA", at positions 8 to 63 of the family's 71-position model. Rfam says of the family: Transfer RNA (tRNA) molecules are approximately 80 nucleotides in length. Their secondary structure includes four short double-helical elements and three loops (D, anti-codon, and T loops). Further hydrogen bonds mediate the characteristic L-shaped molecular structure. tRNAs have two regions of fundamental functional importance: the anti-codon, which is responsible for specific mRNA codon recognition, and the 3' end, to which the tRNAs corresponding amino acid is attached (by aminoacyl-tRNA synthetases). tRNAs cope with the degeneracy of the genetic code in two manners: having more than one tRNA (with a specific anti-codon) for a particular amino acid; and 'wobble' base-pairing, i.e. permitting non-standard base-pairing at the 3rd anti-codon position. The record is from Rfam by way of RNAcentral. Lineage: Eukaryota; Metazoa; Chordata; Mammalia; Chiroptera; Pteropodidae.